GGGGCUGUAGCUCAGCUGGGAGAGCACCUGCUUUGCAAGCAGGGGGUCAGGAGUUCGAUCCUCCUCAGCUCCACCA
Molecule: transfer RNA, 76 nt
Filed under: Acidobacterium capsulatum
Lineage: Bacteria; Pseudomonadati; Acidobacteriota; Terriglobia; Terriglobales; Acidobacteriaceae
Also listed under: 12 other names
Description: tRNA-Ala
Rfam family: tRNA
About the family: Transfer RNA (tRNA) molecules are approximately 80 nucleotides in length. Their secondary structure includes four short double-helical elements and three loops (D, anti-codon, and T loops). Further hydrogen bonds mediate the characteristic L-shaped molecular structure. tRNAs have two regions of fundamental functional importance: the anti-codon, which is responsible for specific mRNA codon recognition, and the 3' end, to which the tRNAs corresponding amino acid is attached (by aminoacyl-tRNA synthetases). tRNAs cope with the degeneracy of the genetic code in two manners: having more than one tRNA (with a specific anti-codon) for a particular amino acid; and 'wobble' base-pairing, i.e. permitting non-standard base-pairing at the 3rd anti-codon position.
Source: RNAcentral